Molecule: ribosomal RNA, 433 nt
Filed under: uncultured bacterium
Lineage: Bacteria
Description: bacterial SSU rRNA
Rfam family: Bacterial small subunit ribosomal RNA
Source: RNAcentral
CAGAUGGCGACCGGCGCACGGGUGAGUAACACGUAUCCAACCUGCCGCUUACUCGGGGAUAGCCUUUCGAAAGAAAGAUUAAUACCCGAUGGUAUAAAGAGUUCGCAUGUUCUCUUUAUUAAAGAAUUUCGGUAAGCGAUGGGGAUGCGUUCCAUUAGAUAGUUGGCGGGUAACGGCCCACCAAGUCUACGAUGGAUAGGGUUCUGAGAGGAAGGUCCCCCACAUUGGAACUGAGACACGGUCCAAACUCCUACGGGAGGCAGCAGUGAGGAAUAUUGGUCAAUGGACGAGAGUCUGAACCAGCCAAGUAGCCGUGAAGGAUGACUGCCCUAUGGGUUGUAAACUUCUUUUAUAAGGGAAUAAAGUGAGGGACGUGUCCCUUUUUGUAUGUACCUUAUGAAUAAGGAUCGGCUAACUCCGUGCCAGCAGCAGC